GAUGAACGCUGGCGGCGUGCCUAAUACAUGCAAGUCGAGCGAACAGACGAGGAGCUUGCUCCUCUGACGUUAGCGGCGGACGGGUGAGUAACACGUGGAUAACCUACCUAUAAGACUGGGAUAACUUCGGGAAACCGGAGCUAAUACCGGAUAAUAUAUUGAACCGCAUGGUUCAAUAGUGAAAGACGGUUUUGCUGUCACUUAUAGAUGGAUCCGCGCCGCAUUAGCUAGUUGGUAAGGUAACGGGUUACCAAGGCAACGAUGCGUAGCCGACGUGAGAGGGUGGUAGGCCACACUGGAACUGGGACACGGUCCAGACUCCUACGGGAGGCAGCAGUAGGGAAUCGUCCGCAAUGGGCGAAAGCCUAACGGAGCAACGCGGCGUGAGUGGUGAAGGUCUUGUGAUCGUAAAACUCUGUUAUUAGGUAAGAACAAAUGUGUAAGUAACUAUGCACGUCUUGACGGUACCUAAUCAGAAAGCCACGGCUAACUACGUG
Molecule: ribosomal RNA, 497 nt
Filed under: uncultured bacterium
Lineage: Bacteria
Description: partial 16S ribosomal RNA
Rfam family: Bacterial small subunit ribosomal RNA
Source: RNAcentral